Molecule: long non-coding RNA, 464 nt
Organism: Chelonia mydas (Green sea turtle)
Lineage: Eukaryota; Metazoa; Chordata; Testudines; Cheloniidae
Exons: 3
Source: RefSeq, a predicted model, not a curated record
GUUGCCUGUCUGAGUCACUGACACAAAGCCAAGAGGAUGUGCUUGAGCAGAUGGAGCCAAAGGAAGUCGUUUCUGGAGUCCUUGUAAACCACUUCAGAGCCUUCGGCAUUUCCUGCUCCUCUGACAGGGCUGUCUGAAAAUCCUGGUCGCUGUGGAUGGUGAAAGUAAAACGACGCCAAGUGUUCUAUCAAACACCAGCCAGCUCCAGAGGAUCCCUGGAAAAGACAGGGAUCACCAGCGGCAUGAACUCUCUGCAGCAUCGGUGAAACUAUCACUGACGUGUCACGCCCCAGUUCUGCUGUCCACACUUCAUGAAGAACGAUCCUGGCUCACCUUGCAGAGCCGGUCAGCUAAAACUAGGAGCUGUGGCUGUUCCUGUGUGAGCAUCAUCAGCCGAACUACUUCCUGAAUUCCAUGCGGUGGUAUUGUAGCCAUGUCAGUCCCAGGAUAUUAGACAGACAAGG